AAAGAAAUUUACAAAGGCUUCUCUUUUUUUUCUUUUUGUGUGGUUUUUUUUUGUUGUUUUCUGCUUUUCUUUGUUUGUUGUUCUUGGUUUUGUUGUUUUUUUUUUUUUGUGGGUUUUGUUUGUUUGUGGUUUUGUUGUUUAUUCUUUUAGCAACCGUGGCGGGUGGUGUGGGUGGAUCCUGGGGUGGAUCCUGGGGUGGAUUCUGGGGUGGAUCCCAGCGAUGGAUUCCUGGGAUGGAUUCUGGGGUGGAUCCCUGGAAUGGAUCCUGGGGUGGAUUUUGGGAUGGAUUCCUGGGAUGGAUUCCUGGGGUGGAUUCCUGGGGUGGAUUCCUGGGAUGGGUUCCUGGGAUGGGUUCCAGGGGUGGAUUCCUGGGGUGGAUCCCUGGGGUGGAUCCCAGCGAUGGAUUCCUGGGAUGGAUUCUGGGGUGGAUCCCUGGAAUGGAUCCCAGUGAUGGAUCCUGGGGUGGAUCCCUGGAAUGGAUCCUGGGGUGGAUUCCUGGAAUGGAUCCUGGGGUGGAUUCCUGGGAUGGAUCCUGGGGUGGAUCCCUGGGAUGGAUUCCUGGGAUUGAUCCCUGGGAUGAAUUCCUGGGAUGGAUCCUGGGGUGGAUUCCUGGGAUGGAUCCCAGCAAUGGAUCCUGGGGUGGAUCCUGGGGUGGAUUCCUGGGAUUGAUCCCAGCAAUGGAUUCCUGGGGUGGAUUUUGGAAUGGAUCCCUGGAAUGGAUCCUGGGGUGGAUUCCUGGGAUGGAUCCCAGUGAUGGAUUCCUGGGAUGGAUCCCUGGGAUGGAUCCUGGGGUGGAUUCCUGGGAUGGGUUCCAGGGGUGGAUCCUAGGGUGGAUUCCUGGGAUGGAUCCCUGGAAUGGAUCCUGGGGUGGAUUCCUGGGGUGGAUCCCUGGGGUGGAUCCUGGGGUGGGUUCCAGGGGUGGAUUCCUGGGAAGGAUCCCUGGGAUGGAUCCCAGCAAUGGAUUCUGGGAUGGAUUUCAGGGGUGGAUUCUGGG
This 994-nucleotide long non-coding RNA is filed under the name Parus major (Great Tit). Its description in RNAcentral is "lncRNA (ENSPMJG00000007217.1)". The record is from RNAcentral. Lineage: Eukaryota; Metazoa; Chordata; Aves; Passeriformes; Paridae.